UUGAAAGGAAAAAGGAAACAAUGCAGAUAUUAUCUAUCAGUUUUACCUCAGAAGUUACAGCAACCAAAGUUCCACAGAAACCGACAGCCGCACAAUUCUAACCGGAGCUUCCAAUGCUGGUCCUUACUCCUUGGUUUAGGAUCAGGUGUCAUUUGUUGGUGCACAAAGAAGCAGGGGUCUGUGGCUUAUGAAUCAACUGCUGAAGCAGAGUACGUUGUUGCCUCAGGUGCUGUUAAUCAAGCUUUAUGAUUGAGAAAAUUUUUGAGCGACUUGACGUUUCAGCCAGGUAAAACACCAGAAAUCCUUUGUGAUAACAAGUCUAUAGUUGCUAUGGUAGAAAAUUCGGUCUUUUAUGGAAAGACUAAACACAUUAAAAUCAAAUAUCAUUUCAUUAGAGAAGUUGAAAGGGAGAAUGAAGUUUAGAUUCUGCAUUGUUGUGGUGAAGAUCAACUUGUUGAUAUUUUUACAAAAGCAUUACAGAAACAGAGAUUUGAGCUUCUUAGAGCUAAGCUUGAAGUAACCAACAACACUUGCAUCAAGGAGGAGUGAUGAAGGGUACUUAUUUUGUGUGAUACUAACUGCUGUCAACUUGGCAUCUUGGUCUUGAUAUUUUGUUGUAAUCUUUAGAUUAUUUUGUUGUAAGUUCUAGAUUUUUUUAGAAGUUAGUUGUAGUGUAUGGUGGUGCUUUAUUUAAGCACAACAUAAGGAGAUAUGUUUUCAGAUUUUGAGGAAUAUUUUCAGACCACUUAUGUGUUACUCCUAUAUAUUUGAUGUAUGAAUGAAAAAUUACUGCACUA
Long non-coding RNA from Capsicum annuum, 797 nucleotides. RefSeq lists it as uncharacterized. The record is from RefSeq and is a predicted model, not a curated record. Lineage: Eukaryota; Viridiplantae; Streptophyta; Magnoliopsida; Solanales; Solanaceae. The transcript is spliced from 2 exons.